Molecule: non-coding RNA, 121 nt
Organism: Tinamus guttatus (white-throated tinamou)
Lineage: Eukaryota; Metazoa; Chordata; Aves; Tinamiformes; Tinamidae
Source: RefSeq, a predicted model, not a curated record
GGGGAUGGUGGGUCUGAAGGGCGCCGCCGGCUUCCAGGGCCCCGCCGGCCCCGAGGGUGAAGGCGGCUCAGCGGGUCCCCCAGGCCCUCCUGGCCCCAUGGGGGAGCCCGGCCAGCCGGGA